RNAcentral lists this ribosomal RNA (468 nucleotides) under uncultured bacterium. Its description in RNAcentral is "partial 16S ribosomal RNA". It matches the Rfam family "Bacterial small subunit ribosomal RNA", at positions 28 to 507 of the family's 1533-position model. The record is from RNAcentral.
GACGAACGCUGGCGGCGUGCUUAACACAUGCAAGUCGAACGGAAAGGCCCUGCUUUUGUGGGGUGCUCGAGUGGCGAACGGGUGAGUAACACGUGAGUAACCUGCCCUUGACUUUGGGAUAACUUCAGGAAACUGGGGCUAAUACCGGAUAGGAGCUCCUGCUGCAUGGUGGGGGUUGGAAAGUUUCGGCGGUUGGGGAUGGACUCGCGGCUUAUCAGCUUGUUGGUGGGGUAGUGGCUUACCAAGGCUUUGACGGGUAGCCGGCCUGAGAGGGUGACCGGCCACAUGGGGACUGAGAUACGGCCCAGAAGCCUACGGUAGGCAGCAGUGGGGAAUAUUGCACAAUGGGCGGAAGCCUGAUGCAGCAACGCCGCGUGCGGGAUGACGGCCUUCGGGUUGUAAACCGCUUUCGCCUGUGACGAAGCGUGAGUGACGGUAACGGGUAAAGAAGCACCGGCUAACUACGUG